CAGUCGCCGCGGGAAAACGUAGGUGGCAAGCGUUGUCCGGAAUUAUUGGGCGUAAAGGGCUCGCAGGCGGUUUCUUAAGUCUGAUGUGAAAGCCCCCGGCUCAACCGGGGAGGGUCAUUGGAAACUGGGAAACUUGAGUGCAGAAGAGGAGAGUGGAAUUCCACGUGUAGCGGUGAAAUGCGUAGAGAUGUGGAGGAACACCAGUGGCGAAGGCGACUCUCUGGUCUGUAACUGACGCUGAGGAGCGAAAGCGUGGGGAGCGAACAGGAUUAGAUACCCCUGUAGUCCCUGUCUCUUAUAC
This 301-nucleotide ribosomal RNA is filed under the name uncultured bacterium. RNAcentral describes it as "partial 16S ribosomal RNA". It matches the Rfam family "Bacterial small subunit ribosomal RNA", at positions 509 to 807 of the family's 1533-position model. The record is from RNAcentral.